AAAUUUGAAAUCGCGUCAGGGGGACCUGGUCGCGAGUUGUAGUUUGAUGGGGUAUGCUUGGUGGGCGCCUAGGUCUAAAUCCCUUGGAAAAGGGUAUCAUAGAGGGUGACAAUCCGUCUGUGGCCUAGUCAGCGGUCUAUCGUGUAAGCUACCCUUCAAAGAGUCGGGUUGUUUGGGAAUGCAGCCCUAAGCUGGUGGUAAAUUCCAUCUAAAGCUAAAUAUCCGUGAGAGACCGAUAGCGAACAAGUACCGUGAGGGAAAGUUGAAAAGCACUCUGGAGAGAGAGUCAAACAGCACGUGAAAUUGUUAACAGGGAAACGUUGGGCACCAGUACGCGCCUCGCGUGAAAUCAACCAUCUUUUCCCCGAGAGUUUGCCUUGGUGGAGUGAGCCUUAACAAGCCGCUUGCCGAGGCGUGCUCGAGGGGGGUGGUGCACUUUUGCGUGGGCGGGUCAACAUCGGUUAGGGCCGUCGUAAACGGCCUUAGGGAAGGUAGGUUCCGCUUUCGGGUGGAUCAACUUAUAGCCCUGAGGAUUGCCUACGAUGACUCUGACCGUGGAUUCGCGAUCCGUGCUCCCUUCGGGGGGCAGGCCCCCUCGGCCCUCGUUGAUCCCCUUGGCUCAGGCAGCUUGCUGACUGGGUUGAGCGAGGAUUGCGAUGUCGGUUGAGGUAGGGCUCUAACGGGUCACGGACGUUGGCGAAAUGGUUCUCAACGACC
This 717-nucleotide ribosomal RNA is filed under the name uncultured fungus. Its description in RNAcentral is "eukaryotic LSU rRNA". It matches the Rfam family "Eukaryotic large subunit ribosomal RNA", at positions 111 to 649 of the family's 3401-position model. The record is from RNAcentral. Lineage: Eukaryota; Fungi.